CGGGUCAUGGUGGCCGGCCGAUAGUCGGCCAUGGCGGCCGUCCGCCGGUGACGCGGUUGCGAUAGGAAGAAGGCAGUAGAGCGCGAGUACGUGGUAGAGAGGGGUCCGCGGAGGUGAGGCGGAGCUGGUGCGCGCGCACGCGGGGGCCAAGGACCUCGCUAGCGGCCGCCGGAGCUGCGGCAGCGCCGCCGUACUCGUAGGAGACGCAACUGACAGGCGGGGUCGUCAUGUCAGCGUCUCGCUGGAAGGGUGGAGAGGCCUGACGAGCAGGCCCCGCUUGUCAGCGACCGCGCGGAGAGAAGGCGGCGUGCGCAGCGUCCGCGCGGGCCGAGCCGAAGCGGGCCGGCCUGCGAGCCAAAAUCCGGUCACCCGCUGCAGUGUCUUUUCUUUUUUUUCUUUUAUGCAGUUUUUGUUUUAUAUUUGAAUUUGUGUAAUAAAUUGUGUGAAGAUCCAAAAAUAAUGAGAAUUUUUGUAUAAACUCUCUGAAAUAUGUAGGAUCCAAGAAAAAUACUAGAUUCUGCUUUCUAAUAGUUUGCAAGGAUAUAAAAAUUGGCCCUUUUAAUUAGCAAAUAAAACUUGUAUGAUUUUUAAUAAUUUAUUUGUAUGUCCAAAAAUCACCAAAAAUUGUGGGGAGCCUCUGAAUAUUAUUCCCUGGCUCCACACAAAAUUUGGUGGCAUUUGGAUAAGGUUUGGUUAAAAUGUUAAUAAACCCUUAUUUAGUGCCUAAGUAAUAAUUCCAAAAUAAUUAAAUAAUAAUUAGUUAAAUCCUCAUCAUUAGGGUUGAGUGAUAUUGGGAUUGCGUGAUGACCUGAGGUCAUUAACCCUAAUGACCUUUGGCAUUUAAUUAUUGUUUAGCCUUAAUGCUUAAUUACUGUCAUUAAUAGUUAAUUAAGAAUUAAUUAAGGUAAAUAGGAUUAAUAAUUAGUUAAUUCAGGUUAAUUAUGGAUUAAAAGAGAUUUUAUUUUACAGAUGCAACCUCUUGGGUAAAAACAUUAAGAUGUUAAACAACUUUAUUUACUGAUUAAUCUGUAUUGCAUUAAGAAGGCAAAUUGUACUCGACUUGAUCCUUCUUGCAUAGUUGUCAUACGCAUAUCAUGAGCAUUCAUCAAUUUGCGUAUAGUAUCCGUGACCGAAGGAGCGCCCAUUGAACCGAAUCCCGAGGUCGGUGCUCCGUUCGAGGAAGUAGGAUCCGAGACUUGGGAAGUCUCCGAGGGUCCGUCUCUGCCCUGCAACCAAGGCAAGCCCCGGAUGCAUUAACCUCUCCUUGGAUGUUUUAAACCUUUUAUCACUUAUGAAUUGAAAUUGCUGCAUUAGGUAGUUGAGAAUUGGGUUAACCUACUUGCUGCAUUUACUACCUUGAUAUCUGUUGUCCUGUCCUUGACACCUGUUUUAUUUUAAAACUGCGUAGCAAUGCUUAGCCCUGCUACUAGAUAGGUUUUCAAACAAGAAAGUUUGAAGGGUUGUUGUGGAAUAUACUUAUGAUCAAUGAUGUUUCAAUUUGAGACCGGUCGGUGGACUUGCUUUAAGAAUGGAGUCUUAAAGUAGUGUCCCCAACUGUGUCGGUUAAGGACCGGUCCGUUGAUGGCCU
RNAcentral lists this long non-coding RNA (1588 nucleotides) under Sorghum bicolor (sorghum). RNAcentral describes it as "long non-coding RNA (SBIC_LNC014264)". The record is from RNAcentral. Lineage: Eukaryota; Viridiplantae; Streptophyta; Magnoliopsida; Poales; Poaceae.